UGGGGAAUUUUGGACAAUGGGGGAAACCCUGAUCCAGCCAUCCCGCGUGUGCGAUGAAGGCCUUCGGGUUGUAAAGCACUUUUGGCAGGAAAGAAACAUCAUGGGUUAAUACCCCGUGAAACUGACGGUACCUGCAGAAUAAGCACCGGCUAACUACGUGCCAGCAGCCGCGGUAAUACGUAGGGUGCAAGCGUUAAUCGGAAUUACUGGGCGUAAAGCGUGCGCAGGCGGUUCGGAAAGAAAGAUGUGAAAUCCCAGAGCUCAACUUUGGAACUGCAUUUUUAACUACCGGGCUAGAGUGUGUCAGAGGGAGGUGGAAUUCCGCGUGUAGCAGUGAAAUGCGUAGAUAUGCGGAGGAACACCGAUGGCGAAGGCAGCCUCCUGGGAUAACACUGACGAUCAUGCACGAAAGCGUGGGGAGCAAACAGG
This 429-nucleotide ribosomal RNA is filed under the name Acidobacteriota bacterium. RNAcentral describes it as "Acidobacteria bacterium partial 16S ribosomal RNA". It matches the Rfam family "Bacterial small subunit ribosomal RNA", at positions 355 to 776 of the family's 1533-position model. Lineage: Bacteria; Pseudomonadati; Acidobacteriota. The record is from RNAcentral.